Molecule: transfer RNA, 65 nt
Filed under: Dipodomys ordii (Ord's kangaroo rat)
Lineage: Eukaryota; Metazoa; Chordata; Mammalia; Rodentia; Heteromyidae
Rfam family: tRNA
About the family: Transfer RNA (tRNA) molecules are approximately 80 nucleotides in length. Their secondary structure includes four short double-helical elements and three loops (D, anti-codon, and T loops).
Source: Rfam by way of RNAcentral
GGUGGCUCAGUGGUAGAGCACUUGCCUUCCAUGCAUGAAGCCCUGGGUUUGAUUCCUCAGCACCA